This 1172-nucleotide ribosomal RNA is filed under the name uncultured Bacteroides sp. RNAcentral describes it as "bacterial SSU rRNA". It matches the Rfam family "Bacterial small subunit ribosomal RNA", at positions 10 to 1177 of the family's 1533-position model. The record is from RNAcentral. Lineage: Bacteria; Pseudomonadati; Bacteroidota; Bacteroidia; Bacteroidales; Bacteroidaceae.
AGUUUGAUCCUGGCUCAGGAUGAACGCUAGCUACAGGCUUAACACAUGCAAGUCGAGGGGCAGCAUGAACUUAGCUUGCUAAGUUUGAUGGCGACCGGCGCACGGGUGAGUAACACGUAUCCAACCUUCCGUUUACUCAGGGAUAGCCUUUCGAAAGAAAGAUUAAUACCUGAUAGUAUGGUGAGAUUGCAUGAUAGCACCAUUAAAGAUUUAUUGGUAAACGAUGGGGAUGCGUUCCAUUAGGUAGUAGGCGGGGUAACGGCCCACCUAGCCGACGAUGGAUAGGGGUUCUGAGAGGAAGGUCCCCCACAUUGGAACUGAGACACGGUCCAAACUCCUACGGGAGGCAGCAGUGAGGAAUAUUGGUCAAUGGGCGAGAGCCUGAACCAGCCAAGUAGCGUGAAGGAUGAAGGUCCUACGGAUUGUAAACUUCUUUUAUACGGGAAUAAAGUAUCCUACGUGUAGGAUUUUGUAUGUACCGUAUGAAUAAGCAUCGGCUAACUCCGUGCCAGCAGCCGCGGUAAUACGGAGGAUGCGAGCGUUAUCCGGAUUUAUUGGGUUUAAAGGGAGCGCAGACGGGAGAUUAAGUCAGUUGUGAAAGUUUGCGGCUCAACCGUAAAAUUGCAGUUGAUACUGGUUUCCUUGAGUGCAGUUGAGGCAGGCGGAAUUCGUGGUGUAGCGGUGAAAUGCUUAGAUAUCACGAAGAACCCCGAUUGCGAAGGCAGCUUGCUAAACUGUAACUGACGUUCAUGCUCGAAAGUGUGGGUAUCAAACAGGAUUAGAUACCCUGGUAGUCCACACGGUAAACGAUGGAUACUCGCUGUUGGCGAUAUACUGUCAGCGGCCAAGCGAAAGCAUUAAGUAUCCCACCUGGGGAGUACGCCGGCAACGGUGAAACUCAAAGGAAUUGACGGGGGCCCGCACAAGCGGAGGAACAUGUGGUUUAAUUCGAUGAUACGCGAGGAACCUUACCCGGGCUUGAAUUGCAGACGAAUUACGAGGAAACUUGUAAGCCGCAAGGCGUCUGUGAAGGUGCUGCAUGGUUGUCGUCAGCUCGUGCCGUGAGGUGUCGGCUUAAGUGCCAUAACGAGCGCAACCCUCGUGGUCAGUUACUAACAGGUUAAGCUGAGGACUCUGGCCAGACUGCCAUSGUAAGAUGUGAGGAAGGUGGA